UACGUAGGGUGCAAGCGUUGUCCGGAAUUAUUGGGCGUAAAGAGCUCGUAGGCGGUUUGUCGCGUCGAAUGUGAAAACCCGGGGCUCAACCCCGGGCCUGCAUUCGACACGGGCAGACUAGAGUUCGGUAGGGGAGUCUGGAAUUCCUGGUGUAGCGGUGAAAUGCGCAGAUAUCAGGAGGAACACCGGUGGCGAAGGCGGGACUCUGGGCCGAUACUGACGCUGAGGAGCGAAAGCGUGGGGAGCAAACAGG
This 253-nucleotide ribosomal RNA is filed under the name uncultured bacterium. RNAcentral describes it as "partial 16S ribosomal RNA". It matches the Rfam family "Bacterial small subunit ribosomal RNA", at positions 524 to 776 of the family's 1533-position model. The record is from RNAcentral.